RNAcentral lists this unclassified non-coding RNA (328 nucleotides) under Hevea brasiliensis (rubber tree). The record is from RNAcentral. Lineage: Eukaryota; Viridiplantae; Streptophyta; Magnoliopsida; Malpighiales; Euphorbiaceae.
GAAAAAUAAAAUGUUUAACAAAAUCCCAUCAACUAACCGUACAUUUCAACCGUUAAGAUUUAUCUACAAAUAUCUUAUAACUAUGGUACUUAAUUAGGAAUAUAAAUUCUAUCUAUAUAGAAUAUAAAACCUACUAAAUAAGAAUAUAUAAAAUCCAUAUUGACUCUCCAUAACACUCUCUCUUAAAAUGGAAUCUCAUUAAUUCCAACAGUCCAAAUGACAAUUAGCCUGUGGGUAUCUAAUCAGAGUACAAAACAAAUGUCCUAUGACAAAACAAUAGCAGGUAACUUGGAAAUGUCCUAUGACAAAACAAUAGCAGGUAACUUGG